CUAGAAUUCCAUUCCUCAGCGUGGAAGAGCUGUACCCUCAUCCUUAAAGUCCCCGUCUUGAGCUCACAUCCCGCUCCCAGAACUCUCUCCAAGUCACAACUACAGUACUACAUAGGGGCGAAGGGCUUUGGACGGCACCUAGAGAAUACAAACCACUCUCAUGAGGACAGAGGACGUUGAAGUGAGGGAGAGAGGUGUAUAGAGCCCAGCCUCUGCCUGAAGGAGCUUCCAGACUGAGAGCCAUGGAGUGAUUUCAGCGCUGAGAGUAUCACAUCAGAUUUGCAUUUUAGAAGGAUUAUUUCAGCAGCAGAGUCAAGUAUGGAUUAGAUAGGGUCAGGCUGGAGGCAGAAGAAUCAGAUAGGAGGUUCUGGUAUUAAUCCAGAGGAGGAAAUAAAGAAAGCCUGGAC
This 407-nucleotide long non-coding RNA is filed under the name Heterocephalus glaber (naked mole-rat). Its description in RNAcentral is "lncRNA (ENSHGLG00000048067.1)". Lineage: Eukaryota; Metazoa; Chordata; Mammalia; Rodentia; Bathyergidae. The record is from RNAcentral.